UACGUAGGGUGCAAGCGUUAAUCGGAAUUACUGGGCGUAAAGCGUGCGCAGGCGGUUUUGUAAGUCUGUCGUGAAAUCCCCGGGCUUAACCUGGGAAUGGCGAUGGUGACUGCAAGGCUAGAGUUUGGCAGAGGGGGGUAGAAUUCCACGUGUAGCAGUGAAAUGCGUAGAGAUGUGGAGGAACACCGAUGGCGAAGGCAGCCCCCUGGGCCAAAACUGACGCUCAUGCACGAAAGCGUGGGGAGCAAACAGG
Molecule: ribosomal RNA, 253 nt
Filed under: uncultured bacterium
Lineage: Bacteria
Description: partial 16S ribosomal RNA
Rfam family: Bacterial small subunit ribosomal RNA
Source: RNAcentral